This is a non-coding RNA of Cunninghamella echinulata, 82 nucleotides long. NCBI's taxonomy places the organism in Eukaryota, Fungi, Mucoromycota, Mucoromycetes, Mucorales, Cunninghamellaceae. The record is from the annotation of a GenBank genome assembly.
AGCGACAUGGCCGAGUGGUCUAAGGCGAUACAUUUAGGAUGUAUUCACUUCGGUGGCGCGAGUUCGAACCUCGCUGUCGCUA